CCUGGGGAAGGAUCAUUA
This 18-nucleotide ribosomal RNA is filed under the name Geotrichum pseudocandidum. RNAcentral describes it as "Galactomyces pseudocandidus partial 18S ribosomal RNA". The record is from RNAcentral. Lineage: Eukaryota; Fungi; Ascomycota; Dipodascomycetes; Dipodascales; Dipodascaceae.